CUCUUGUUAAUCUAGUGGCUAGGAUUCCUGGUUUUCAACCAGGCUGCCCAGGUUUAAUUCCUGAGCAGAAAA
Transfer RNA from Sus scrofa (pig), 72 nucleotides. It matches the Rfam family "tRNA". Rfam says of the family: Transfer RNA (tRNA) molecules are approximately 80 nucleotides in length. The record is from Rfam. NCBI's taxonomy places the organism in Eukaryota, Metazoa, Chordata, Mammalia, Artiodactyla, Suidae.